RNAcentral lists this long non-coding RNA (8724 nucleotides) under Podarcis lilfordi (Lilford's wall lizard). The record is from RNAcentral. Lineage: Eukaryota; Metazoa; Chordata; Lepidosauria; Squamata; Lacertidae.
CUAAUUGAAAAUGCACUGGGGAAAUCGAGGAAGUUCAGGGGUGGGGGUAAGCAGUGUUCCAAAGGAAAGUGGGGCGCAUAGGCGUGGGUGAAUUGGGGUGCUGAGAAGGACCAGAGGUGCAGGGCAUGGGAGCUCAAAACAACAAGUUUUAGUGGGCUAAAGGAGAAGCCAUGGGGGAUGUUGGGGGAGUUGCAGGGUGAACUUCAGGGAAAGUAGGGGACACCCAUGGGGAGAGGGAAUCUUUGAUUGUGAUUAUACUCAUUGCUUUGUCCAGAGUUACACUGGAAACAUAGAGAGAGCCGUGCCCUCAAGGAGCUUACACUCUAAGAUGCAGGGAGGGAGACAAGGGUAUGAAAUAGAAACGCUGAGAAGCGGUCCACUUUGUGGAGGAUGGUGAAGGGACAAAGCCUGGUAAAAGCCCUGUUGAAAAGGUGGGUUUUGAGGAUGGGGGCUAAUGGGGAAACUGGGAUCCAUAGCUGAGUGAACUUGGCCUGAGAGCAGUAUGGGAGGAAGCUGAGAGAGAUUUGGGCCUUUAAUUGAGUGAGCUGGAGGGAAGGUGCAGAGCCUGAACUCAGGAGGAGCAUAGAAAAAAUGGGGAUCCAGGGGGAUCGAGUGAGGGAAAGCUGAAAGUGUGGGAGCAUGGAUGGGAAACCUGUGGCCUUUAAGAUGUUGGACUCCAGUUCCCAUCAUCCCCAGCCACAAGAGGCCGUAGUCUGGGAUGAUGGAAGUUGUAGUACAGCUGGAAGGCACCUUGAAUGGUACUGAAAGGGAACACACAUCUUCCAUUUUUUUUUAAUUGGUACCCACAGUGAUUUACAUGUGCAAAGGAUGAUUGCAUCAUAUAUUUAUUUAUUUAUUGCAUUAAAAGUUGUUUCAGUUAUAUAUUCCACGUUGCUCAGGUGGGAUACAGGCCUUCCAUUCUCACAACAGCUCUGUGUCAUAGGUUAGACCAGGGGUUGCCAACCUGCUGGGCGUGAAAGCUUCUGUUGGUGCUCCAGACUCUGAGCUUUCAUUUAAAAUAGAAUUAAGCCCUCUUAGAAAGAAAGUUAUGGGGCAAAAUUUACAGGUGACUUCCAAGUGAUUUCUGUGAGAUGAGAGUGGUAUGGCUCCCUUCUAUGUUUUUUUACUUGUACUGAAGAAUGCUCUAUUGUUAUUACAUAGCAACAGCAUCGGUGUGCAUAUGCAAUCUCCAUAAUUAGGAGCAGCAGGGUAUAGCUGACUUCCCAUGGUAAGCAAAAGGUUGUCAGAGGUAGUUGUCUCUGUGAUUUUGUGUAAUGUCACACACUCCACAGCAGCUAUUUUGUGUUAUGCCAUGCCCCCUUUGUGGUAGUAAUUUUGUGACUGGUGCCUCAGCACUCUCUCAAAAUUUGAAAUGUUCCCAGUAGUCCAAAAAGGUUAGCGACCCCUGGUUAGACAGAGAAACUGGUUACAGUCACAUUGGGCUUUAUGGCUGAGUGAGGAUUUAAACUGCGGUGUGCAAGAGACUUAAAUAAGAACAGGAAAAUCGACAAUGGUUAAAAAAAAAACUUGCCCUUUCCACUUUCGUUUCGUUUCUGCCUAGAAGUAGGGCUGUUGUGGCCCUUGGAUACAAGAACAUAAAUUCCCAAUUCCAACCCUUACUCCACCUUUCCUUUCUGAUUAAUACUAAAUGUUGAUGGUGCAACAUGUUUACUUAGGAAUCACUCCCAAAUAAGUAUGCACAGAAUUGUUGCCCAAGCCUAAAAAAACCUGACAUAAUCUGAGAGGAUGCAUGAAAAUUUGCUUCCUUUCCUUUUUUGCCUGACAAAAAAACAUUCUGAAUAACUCGAAAGGCUUAUAUAUUAUUUCACCAAUGUAAAUUAAGCAAAUAAGACAUCUUUUAAAAAGUAAAAAGAGCCCUGCUGGAUCAAACCAAGGCAGGUCCAUUGUCUUGCUUUCCUGGGUCAUAAACCAGAUGCCUCUUAGGUUUAAGCAGCAUACACACAAUAUAAUCUACAUUCAAUGCGCACUGAGAUUUCUCUCCCCCCCCCACCUAAUCCACACACAAUCUGGACCUUUUGCACAUUUUAUGCCCCUGAAAAGCACUUUUUCACAAACUAGUUUCAUUUCAAAAAUAAAAGCUCAAUGCAGAUUGAUUCUGCAAUUCAGGUAGGUAGCCAUAUUGGUCUGACACAGUAGAAAUAUAUAUAUAUAUAUAUAUAUAUUGUCCAGUAGCACCUUAAGAGACCAACUAAGUUUGUUCUUGGUAUGAGCUUUUGUGUGCAUGCACACUUCUUCAGAUACUUUUUCUGAAGAAGUGUGCAUGCACACGAAAGCUCAUACCAAGAACAAACUUAGUUGGUCUCUAAGGUGCUACUAGUCAAUUUUUUAAUUUUUUAAUAUAUAUUUCUAUUGAUUCUGCAAUGCAUUUGAAAAUGGACAGAGGUGGUCCCAGUAUACUUUGCCCAAUGCUGUCGUAUGGAAGCAUGUACCAAGAUCGCAAUUGCCACUUCUUCACAUGUGCAAAGAAGAAAGGGGGAGGGUUUUCAAAUGCAUAUCAAGUAACCACACACAUCUUUGUGGACAGCAUGAUCUAUAAUGGAAAGAAGCACAUUGUGGACAAGUGUGCACUCAAACAACUAGUUUUUGCUUUAAAUGGAUAAAUAUGUACACAGACUUAGGGGACCAUUGUUUGGAUGAAGCCUGCAACCUUUUUUCUGUAGCAGUUCCUCAGCAACUGGUGCUCAGUGGCAUACUGCCUAUGAACCAGGAGUGUACCACAAAAUUAAUCUGGAUAUCUUUUAAGAGGGCAGUAAAAAAGCAACUAACGCCUGAAUUCUAUCAGCAACUCAUGGCUUAAACCAAUACUGUUUACAUAUCUCAGAAUUAUAUCAGUUAAGCCUAUGCACUACCACACAGGAUUUUUCCAAGUUCUCAAAGGUAUUAAAACUUUCAAUUUACUUUGCUCCCUUGCCAUCCUAUAAUAACAAAUUUGUUUGCAGUCUGACUGAACUAAAAGCAUAAUAUCCCUUAGUCAUCUGACAAACUGUCCUUAUUUCUCUCUCCCAGGUAGACCAUUUUGUGAUAAAUGGUUUUGAGGGCUCAUACUAUAUGCAAUAUUUACACAUUUUUAAAAUAAUGAAACCAUUGAAAAGUAGGUGUUUCUAAAAUAAAACCCAGUCUUAAUUGCAUUCUGCAACAUUUCAGGAAAUUCAAAAGUACCCAUUCAUUGGAUUUCUGAAUGUCCAUUGAGCUACUGAACAGUCCUUGACUGCUUUGAACCCAGCAAUCUUCAGCUGAUCCAGACCCAGAACCCACCUCGGACACCCAACCUACAACAUAGAACUUUCACUUUCAAUUACUACUAAUAACACACAUUGCUAAUCCUAAAAUGGCAGUUAAGAGGAAUACUGUAUACAUAGCGUUACCUUGGUACUACUAUUACCAGGGAUAUUUUGCCCCUUAUGUCACCUUUCCUGUGUAUAUAACGGGAUACAUAAUCAAAGGAACGGGGGAGGACAGGCAAAGCCCGCCUUGGGAAGCAGUCUCUGUGCCACAAAUUAUUUUUGUCCAGUAGAAGUGUUGCCUAUCUAACCCUCUUUCUGGUACUGCAGCGCAGCAGCACAGGCAGCUAGCUUCCUUGGUGAGUUUUCUGUUGGCCUCCUUGUAGCUUCAGGUUAAAAGCAGCUUUAAAAGCAGCAGGAAUGCUGUGUUUAUUACUUUUUUUGGGUAAGGUUUUAAAUUAUUAUUUCAUUUUAUAAUGUAUAUCAAACAAAGAACAAUAAUAAUAAUAGACAAAAAUUAAAGGAACAACCAAAACUAUAAAACAGGCACAUAGAAUUAGUAGUUGCACGUCUUAGAAAUAACAAGUCUUUAUUGCUGUUGUCAAUGCAAUAGCAAGUUGUGAGAACAUAAGAGCCCUACUGCAUCAGGCCAAGUUUUUGAUUUUUGAACAGAUGUAGGCCAUCACAGUCCAGUGUAAAAGAAUAAUUAUAAAUAUUUCAAUGAACAAACAAAUGUAGAACAAUGCUCUGAAUUUACACAUCAGCUGCUAAUGCAGUAUCUUGGUCCUCAUGAUGGAUAUGGCAUUACAAUAUAAAGUUUGUAUUUCUAUUCUCACUUUGAAAAACUGCAUUUUAAAUUAUAGAGUUGUGUCCUCCACUUUUCUACCAAAUUUAAUUCUGAUAUCUGAUAUUAGAGGGUGUUACUGCAUUGUGAACAGACACACAAAUAGAAUGUGCUAUAGACAAAUUAAAGGCCACUUGCUCAGUAAUGUUAUUUGGGGAUGAAAUAGGAGAAUCAGGAAAUACUGAUCUAGCCUAUUCUGAUCCCACCAUAAUCCCACACUAUUCAUUAGUUGGGGGUAUGCUAUCCUGGAACCUUAAUUGUGGACCAAGGACAGAAAUUGUCAUCUUUCAGCCUUGGAAGGAAGUGACCAUGUCCUCUUGGGGUUCAUUAUGCAGAGGAAAGGGAAAGCCGAGUGUAAGCAGAUGUAUACUCUGGAAUUUAGGAAAGCUGAUUUCAAAAAGCUUAAGGAAAUGCUGGGUGUGAUCCCAUGGUCAAAAAUACUCAAAGAGAAGGGAGUUCACAAAGGAUGGGAGUUUCUGAAAGGUGAUAUAUUGAAUGCAGAAUUGCAAACAAUUACAACAAGAAAGAAAGUUUGGAGGUAUCUAAAGAAACCGGCGUAGCUAUAUAAUUAGUUUUUAGAUGACCUGAGAUUUAAAAGGGGAUUUUAUAAUAAGUGGAAGAAGUGGCAAAUCAUGAAGGAAGCAUAUAAAUGAGUAUCCAAAUCUUGCAGGGAAAAGAUCAGGCAGGCUAAAAUUCAGAAUGAGCUCAGGCUUGCAAGGGGUGAAAAAUAAUAAAAUGUGAAGCAAGAAGAAGAACAAGCAAUUAGGUCAGGCUUCCUCAACCUCGGCCCUCCAGAUGUUUUUGGGCUACAACUCCCAUGAUCCCUAGCUAGCAGGACCAGUGGUCAAGGAUGAUGGGAAUUGUAGUCUCAAAACAUCUGGAGGGCCAAGGCUGAGGAAGCCUGAAUUAGGUCCGCUGUGUUGAGAAGCUGGAGAAAUGCUGAGUGAUGACAGAGAGAAGGCAGAAGAACUGAAUACCUGCUUUGCCUCUGUCUUCACCUGAAAGGAAAACAGUCCCCAACUUGGUGAUAAUACAAUAAAUGAUGCAGGCAGGGAGCUGCAGCCCAAGAUAGGAAAAUAGGUGGUAAGGGAACACCCAGCUACUUUAAAUGAAUUUAAACCUCUAGGAACUGAUUAACUAUAUGCAAGGGUACUAAAAGAACUUGUAGAUGUAAUCUCAGAGCCCCUGCAAAUAAUCAUUGAGAAUUCUUAGAAAACAGAUAAGGUCUCUGUGGACUGAAGACGGGCAAAUCUUGUCCCCAUCUUUAAAAAUCGGGGGUGGGGAGAAGACCCUGGCAACUACUUGGUGUUGAUACUAAGAAAAGUUUUUGAACAGAUAAUGAAAUGGUGCAUGAUGGCUUAGAAAAGGAUACUGUGAUUUCUAAGAUUAUGAAUUUCUCAAAAGAAGUCAUGCCAAGCCAGUUCAUUUCUCUCUCUCCCUCUAGCGUUACAAGCUUCCUGGACCAGGGGAAUACUAUGGAUGUCGUGUUUGUUGAUUUCACUAAGACUUUCAACAAAGUCCCCUAUUUUCCCUUGGAGAAGCUGAUAAAAUGGAGGCAGUGGAAGACAGGAGUGCCUGGCGUGCUCUGGUCCAUGGGGUCACAAAGAGUUGGACACGACUAAACAACAACAAUACAUUGUUACUUUUAGGUGAAUUUGUAGAUGGUUGACUGAGCAAGCCAAAAAGUGUUCACCAGAGGUUCUGCAUCAUCCUGGGAAAAAGUGACAAAUGGAUGCUCAUCAAAUUUGCGGGUGACACCAAACUGGGUGGGGUAGCUAAUACCUCAGAAGAUAGGAUCAAGAUUCAAGAUAACCUUAACAGACUGGAGAACUGGGACCAAACUAACAAAAUGAAUUUCAAUAGGGACAAAUGUAAGGUUCUAAACUUAGGCAGGAAUAAUCGACUUGCACAAGUACAGAGUGGAGUACAGCUGACUUGCCUUGUGAAAAGGAUCUAGGGGUCUUUGUAGAGCACAAAUGUAACACGAGUCAACAGUGUGAUGCAGCAGCAAAAAAAAGUUAAUGGGUUUCUAGGUUGCAUCAAUAGAAGUCUAGUCCAGAUCCAGUAAUAGUCCUGCUCUAUUCUGCCUUGGUCAGACCACACCUGCAAUACUGUGUCCAGUUCUGGGCACCACAGUUUAAGAAGGAUCUCGUCAAGCUAGAACAUACGCAGAGAAGGGCAACCAAGAUGAUCAAGGGUCUGGAAACCAAGCCUUAUGAGGAACAGUUGAGGGAGUUGUGUGUUUUGAGAAGACUCUGAGGUGGUAAGAUGCCUAUCGUCAAAUACCUGAUGGGUUGUCACAUGGAAGAUGACGCAAGCUUGAUUUUCCCUACUCCAGAGGGUAGGACUGGAACUGAUGGCUUCAACUUUCAAGAAAGGAGGUUCCAAGUAAAUAUUAGGAAGAACUUUCUGAGGGUAUGAGCUGUUUGACAGUGGGAACAGACUACCUUAAAAGGUGGUGAACUCCCUUUCAUUUGAUGUCUUUAAAGAGAAGUUGGCCAUCUGUCUGGGAUUAUUUAGCUGUGAUUCCUGCAUUGCAGAGGAUUGAACUAGAUGAUCCUUGAGGUCCUUUCCAACUUUACAAUUCUAUGAUCUGUCAACGAUCGCUCAAGUCCAAGAACUGAUUACAGAAAGUUAGACUAGAUUAUCAUUGAAUGCUUCUUGAAACUGUUCAGUUGUGGCAGACCUAACACUAAUUGCUUCUGAGUAUCGGUGAUAAAGAGGGUGGAUUUAACUACAGAAUGAUGAUUCACCAUGGUGACUAACAAUCCAGAAGCCUGACCAGGAAAUCAAGUCAUAAUUUUCACCUGCCUUUAAAGACGUAUUUACAGUAAUAAAUUAUGUGCAAAUUGUCUCCAAACCUUUCUUAAAUGAUCCAGCAGUCAGACAAUGGAACUUACUACAAAAGGGUCUGAAUGUGGAUAAAAUUUUGGCAUAAAUGCAAUAUAUUAAUAGUAGAUUCCAAGUCUGUUCACAGCCCCUACAGCCUGAGACUACUUUGUGGAAGCAUGAUUUAGACAUGAAAUAUUUACACACCAACUCCAAACAGAACCAACUGAUAAACAUUUAAUUUUUGUUAGGUGACUUUAAAAAUAUGCUUCACAAAUUGAAACCUCAGUUCAAUUUAUUCAUUGCCAGGAGGCUUGUACCGCAGUGGGUUUAAAUAAGUUGUUUCAGGAUCUAUAUAAUAUAUUUUACUGGGUCACUUAGCACUGAAGACCAUAGGAAGCUUUUUUAUUUCAUGAAGUUCUUUGCAACUUAGAAGCUUGCCACUUUUACCAAAAUAAUUGUUUCAAUAAAAAUUGAGACAUAUAAUUUUAACUAUAUUAAGUUUGAUAACUGAGGCCAGGAGAACAGCUAUACACAAAACAGAUACAGUUUUUGUAUAAUGGGAAAUUACAAGGGAGUAUUGGGUUUUCCCCCCAAAUGCCUAUUUAAAAACUCAAUGUGAAAAAAAAAUUGAUGGAAUUCUCACCCCUGUUCACAGAUGGUGACACCAAACUACAAAAGUGACUUGAAUGUUGAUAUUUUACCUCUAGAAACACCUGCUCCAAUCCUGCCCAAAUGAAAGCUCAUUAUAUCUAUUGUAUAAACAAGGAGAUAAAUGCCUACUUGAGAACUGGUGAGUCAAAAUGAACUUCAACAAAUCAGCUCUUCUUCCAAUAUCGUACUAUAGCUUGCCUUUUCUUCCCUCAUCUGAAACUAGGAGGUGGCUGAGCUAGUAUUUGAAUUUGAACGACAGAAGUAUGCCCUGAACAUGCGUAUCAGAUUUUAUUUCAGUGCCACAUGAUAGCCAGCAGAAUGUGCAACUGGUCCACAGCUCUCUUGAAGACAAUUAAGUUUUCAGUGAACCAAAAUCUAGGUUUUCAAAAGUUUCCAGUGUUACGGAAAUGACAGGGGUGGGGCACAUCUUUAAAGUUGUUACAAUGUUACAAAUAUUAUGUCAAUGUAUCUUUUUAACUUGACAGCUCAGGAAAGAUACCUAGUUUUAUAAAUUCAUAUAAAAUCAGUAUUUUGACCGAUUCUCUUCAUUCCAAUGCCAUUUUGGCGUUAGAGGAAAGGACUCCUUUACCUUUCUCUCCUGCCAUAAUCCCUCAAGCGUGAGGGCACAUACACAACACCCUGGGUGCUCUUAUACAACAAACUACAAGAAGGAAGAUAAACAAACUGGACUUUUUUUGAAGUAAGGAAAGUUAUACAAAAAAAUGCACAGGGAAGUGGUGGGAUUACAGUUGCAGCAUCAUAUAACUCCCAGCCAAAAAUAAAUUGGGACACUCUGAACAACAAGCAACACGCCAGCUAAUAAUAUACUGACAAUAUUUUUAUAACACUAUACUGUUUCAAAAUUCAUAAACAGAAGACAUAUAAUAUGUGCAUGGAGUCACAAACUAAUAAGAAUCAAAUAAAUGUUCCAUGAACAGGAAUGGUAGGAGUGGUAGGUUGCUGUCAAAGAUCACUGAAAUGGAGGCAAAAUGCCUUUCCACAGUCAACAUCCUACAAACGUGAGAUGCUGGGUGAUGCAAACUUCGCAAUAGGGUGCUCCAAGCACAGCAGCAGACUACACUUCUUCCAGGAUAAUGAACUGUUUCAAUGAUAAAUCUUCACCAGCAAAUUAAUAGUCCCCGAAGUACAUCAAAU